RNAcentral lists this small RNA (914 nucleotides) under uncultured Solirubrobacter sp. Its description in RNAcentral is "bacterial SSU rRNA". The stretch from base 1 to 471 matches the Rfam family "Bacterial small subunit ribosomal RNA", at positions 1064 to 1533 of the family's 1533-position model. The record is from RNAcentral. Lineage: Bacteria; Bacillati; Actinomycetota; Thermoleophilia; Solirubrobacterales; Solirubrobacteraceae.
GUCGUGAGAUGUUGGGUUAAGUCCCGCAACGAGCGCAACCCCCGUCGCAUGUUGCCAGCAUUUAGUUGGGGACUCAUGUGAGACUGCCGGUGACAAACCGGAGGAAGGUGGGGAUGACGUCAAGUCAUCAUGCCCCUUAUGUCCAGGGCUACACACGUGCUACAUUGGCGCGUACAGAGGGCUGCGAUACCGCGAGGUGGAGCGAAUCCCUUAAAGCGCGUCUCGGUUCGGAUUGCAGGCUGAAACUCGCCUGCAUGAAGGCGGAGUUGCUAGUAAUCGCGGAUCAGCAUUGCCGCGGUGAAUACGUUCCCGGGCCUUGUACACACCGCCCGUCACACCAUGGGAGUGAGCAACACCCGAAGCCGGUGGCCUAACCCGCAAGGGAGGGAGCCGUCGAAGGUGGGGCUCGUGACUGGGGUGAAGUCGUGACAAGGUAGCCGUAGCGGAAGCUGCGGCUGGAUCACCUCCUUUCUAGGGAGCCCUCUCCAACAGGAGGGCACCGAUCGUCAGCAGGAUCGUCGUUCUUCGACCUUCGGGUCGCCCGGCGCUCUCCUCGAGCACGAUCGGCCACUAGAUAUGUCGACCGGACCUGGCGAAGCGCGCGGUCGAGCUCUCGAGCUCGGGUGAUGCGCCAGCAUGCUGUUGAGUUUUGAGAGACCGGCCCGCCGCCGGCGGCUCGAGGACUUCGGUUCCGGGCCUACGUGGGGCGGGUUCGCCUCUUUGCGGACCUUGAAAACUGCACAGUAGCCAAUGUAACGGGUAUCACCGGGCGAGAAUCGUAAGGUUCUCACCCAGAUCACCGUCAAGAUAGUAAGGGCACAUGGUGGAUGCCUUGGCACCAAGAGUCGAUGAAGGGCGUGAACGGCUGCGAUAAGCCGCGGUGAGGCGCUGAAUAGCCAGUGACCCGCGGAUGC